RNAcentral lists this unclassified non-coding RNA (253 nucleotides) under uncultured Planctomycetota bacterium. RNAcentral's name for it is "uncultured planctomycete contains 16S-23S intergenic spacer region". It matches the Rfam family "Bacterial small subunit ribosomal RNA", at positions 524 to 776 of the family's 1533-position model. The record is from RNAcentral. Lineage: Bacteria; Pseudomonadati; Planctomycetota.
UACGUAUGGUGCGAACGUUGUUCGGAUUUACUGGGCAUAAAGCGCGCGUAGGCGGUUUGGUAAGUCUGAUGUGAAAUCCCUCGGCUCAACCGAGGAACUGCAUCGGAUACUGCUGGACUAGAGUGCAGGAGGGGAGAGCGGAAUUCCUGGUGGAGCGGUGAAAUGCGUAGAUAUCAGGAGGAACGCCGGUGGCGAAAGCGGCUCUCUGGCCUGCAACUGACGCUGAGGCGCGAAAGCUAGGGGAGCGAACGGG